CGUGAAGUUGGAAUUGCUGUAAUCGCGGAUCAGCAUGCCGCGGUGAAUACGUUCCCGGGCCUUGUACACACCGCCCGUCACACCAUGGGAGCCGGUAAUACCCGAAGUCAGUAGCCUAACCGCAAGGGGGGCGCUGCCGAAGGUAGGAUUGGCGACUGGGGUGAAGUCGUAACAAGGUACC
Molecule: ribosomal RNA, 181 nt
Filed under: uncultured bacterium
Lineage: Bacteria
Description: partial 16S ribosomal RNA
Rfam family: Bacterial small subunit ribosomal RNA
Source: RNAcentral